RNAcentral lists this ribosomal RNA (274 nucleotides) under uncultured bacterium. Its description in RNAcentral is "partial 16S ribosomal RNA". It matches the Rfam family "Bacterial small subunit ribosomal RNA", at positions 523 to 796 of the family's 1533-position model. The record is from RNAcentral.
CUACGGAGGUUGCAAGCGUUAUUCGGAAUCACUGGGCGUAAAGGACGCGUAGGCGGGUUGGCAAGUCAGAUGUGAAAUCCUACAGCUUAACUGUAGAACUGCAUUUGAAACUGCUAACCUAGAGUAUGGGAGGGGGAGAUGGAAUUAGUGGUGUAGGGGUAAAAUCCGUAGAUAUCACUAGGAAUACCGAAAGCGAAGGCGAUCUCCUGGAACAUAACUGACGCUAAGGCGUGAAAGCGUGGGGAGCAAACAGGAUUAGAAACCCCAGUAGUCC